This 253-nucleotide ribosomal RNA is filed under the name uncultured bacterium. RNAcentral's name for it is "partial 16S ribosomal RNA". It matches the Rfam family "Bacterial small subunit ribosomal RNA", at positions 524 to 776 of the family's 1533-position model. The record is from RNAcentral.
UACGUAGGGUGCAAGCGUUAAUCGGAAUUACUGGGCGUAAAGCGUGCGCAGGCGGUUGUGCAAGUCCGAUGUGAAAUCCCCGGGCUUAACCUGGGAAUGGCAUUGGUGACUGCACGGCUAGAGUGUGUCAGAGGGGGGUAGAAUUCCACGUGUAGCAGUGAAAUGCGUAGAGAUGUGGAGGAAUACCGCUGGCGAAGGCAGCCCCCUGGGAUAACACUGACGCUCAUGCACGAAAGCGUGGGGAGCAAACAGG